Molecule: ribosomal RNA, 873 nt
Filed under: Acinetobacter baumannii
Lineage: Bacteria; Pseudomonadati; Pseudomonadota; Gammaproteobacteria; Moraxellales; Moraxellaceae
Description: bacterial SSU rRNA
Rfam family: Bacterial small subunit ribosomal RNA
Source: RNAcentral
UUUAACUGAAGAGUUUGAUCAUGGCUCAGAUUGAACGCUGGCGGCAGGCUUAACACAUGCAAGUCGAGCGGGGGAAGGUAGCUUGCUACUGGACCUAGCGGCGGACGGGUGAGUAAUGCUUAGGAAUCUGCCUAUUAGUGGGGGACAACAUCUCGAAAGGGAUGCUAAUACCGCAUACGUCCUACGGGAGAAAGCAGGGGAUCUUCGGACCUUGCGCUAAUAGAUGAGCCUAAGUCGGAUUAGCUAGUUGGUGGGGUAAAGGCCUACCAAGGCGACGAUCUGUAGCGGGUCUGAGAGGAUGAUCCGCCACACUGGGACUGAGACACGGCCCAGACUCCUACGGGAGGCAGCAGUGGGGAAUAUUGGACAAUGGGGGGAACCCUGAUCCAGCCAUGCCGCGUGUGUGAAGAAGGCCUUAUGGUUGUAAAGCACUUUAAGCGAGGAGGAGGCUACUUUAGUUAAUACCUAGAGAUAGUGGACGUUACUCGCAGAAUAAGCACCGGCUAACUCUGUGCCAGCAGCCGCGGUAAUACAGAGGGUGCGAGCGUUAAUCGGAUUUACUGGGCGUAAAGCGUGCGUAGGCGGCUUAUUAAGUCGGAUGUGAAAUCCCCGAGCUUAACUUGGGAAUUGCAUUCGAUACUGGUGAGCUAGAGUAUGGGAGAGGAUGGUAGAAUUCCAGGUGUAGCGGUGAAAUGCGUAGAGAUCUGGAGGAAUACCGAUGGCGAAGGCAGCCAUCUGGCCUAAUACUGACGCUGAGGUACGAAAGCAUGGGGAGCAAACAGGAUUAGAUACCCUGGUAGUCCAUGCCGUAAACGAUGUCUACUAGCCGUUGGGGCCUUUGAGGCUUUAGUGGCGCAGCUAACGCGAUAAGUA